GGGAUAUAGAUCAGUGGUAGAAUGCUUGCCUCACAUGCAUGAGGCCCUAGGUUCAAUCCCCAGUACUGCCA
RNAcentral lists this transfer RNA (71 nucleotides) under Neotoma lepida (desert woodrat). It matches the Rfam family "tRNA". Rfam says of the family: Transfer RNA (tRNA) molecules are approximately 80 nucleotides in length. Their secondary structure includes four short double-helical elements and three loops (D, anti-codon, and T loops). Further hydrogen bonds mediate the characteristic L-shaped molecular structure. tRNAs have two regions of fundamental functional importance: the anti-codon, which is responsible for specific mRNA codon recognition, and the 3' end, to which the tRNAs corresponding amino acid is attached (by aminoacyl-tRNA synthetases). tRNAs cope with the degeneracy of the genetic code in two manners: having more than one tRNA (with a specific anti-codon) for a particular amino acid; and 'wobble' base-pairing, i.e. permitting non-standard base-pairing at the 3rd anti-codon position. The record is from Rfam by way of RNAcentral. Lineage: Eukaryota; Metazoa; Chordata; Mammalia; Rodentia; Cricetidae.